UGUUCUAGAACGUUCUAGAGCAGGUUCCGGAUCGCUCUAGAUCGGGUUCUAGAACAGGUUCUAGACUGGGCUCCAGGUGUCCCCAGGUGUCCCCAGGUGUGUCCCCUCACCCCCAGGUGUAUCUCAGGUGUCCCCAGGUGUGCCCAGGUGUGUUUUUGUCCCCCCAGGUGAGUUUUUAUCCCCCCAGGUGACGUUCAGGUGUGCCCAGGUGUGUCCCCUCACCCCCAGGUGAUGCUCAGGUGUCCCCAGGUGUCCCCAGGUUUGGUUCAGGUGUAUUUCAGGUGUCCCCAGGUGUUUCCAGGUGUGUUCAGGUGUGCCCAGGUACCCCCAGGUGUGCCCAGGUGUGUUUUUAUCCCCCCCAGGUGUGUUCAGGUGUCCCCAGGUGUGUUUUUAUCCCCCCCAGGUGUCCCCAGGUGUCCCCAGGUACCCCAGGUGUGUCCCCAGAUGUCCCCAGGUGUCCCCAGGUGUCCCCAGGUGUCCCCAGGUGUGCCCAGUUGUGCCCAGGUGUGUUCAGGUGUCCCCAGGUGUGCCCAGGUGUCCCCAGGUGUGCCCAGGUGUCCCCAGGUGUGUUUUUAUCCCCCCCAGGUGUCCCCAGGUGUGCCCCCAGGUGUCCCCAGGUGUCCCCAGGUGUGCCCAGGUGUCCCCAGGUGUGCCCAGGUGUGUCCAGGUGUCCCCAGGUGAUAUUCAGGUGUGCCCAGGUGUGCCCAGGUGUGUCCCAGGUGUCCCCAGGUGUCCCCAGGUGUAUCUCAGGUGUCCCUGGGUGUCCCCAGGUGAGUUUUUAUCCUCCCAGGGUGAUGUUCAGGUGUGCCCAGGUGUGUCCCAGGUGUGCCCAGGUGUGUUCCAGGUGUCCCCAGGUGUCCCCAGGUGUGUUCCAGGUGUCCCCAGGUGUCCCCAGGUGUCCCCAGGUGUCCCCAGGUGUGCCCAGGUGUGUUUUUGUCCCCCCAGGUGAGUUUUUAUCCUCCCAGGGUGAUGUUCAGGUGUCCCCAGGUGUGCCCAGGUGUGUCUCAGGUGUGUCCCUGGGUGUCCCCAGGUGUGUCCCCUCACCCCCAGGUGUAUCUCAGGUGUCCCCAGGUGAGUUUUUAUCCCCCCAGGUGAGUUUUUGUCCUCCCAGGUGA
Molecule: long non-coding RNA, 1115 nt
Filed under: Cyanistes caeruleus (blue tit)
Lineage: Eukaryota; Metazoa; Chordata; Aves; Passeriformes; Paridae
Description: lncRNA (ENSCCEG00000018639.1)
Source: RNAcentral